CGCGGACGUGUUCGGCCUUUCACGUCCGGGAAGUGUGGUUCUGUGUUCGUUGUCGCGUCUUCUGUCCUGAGUGGUCUUUGGGACAGCUUUUGGGCUUAGAUAAAAUGCCGGAGAUUCAAGAGUCUUGUAGUGGGAGGUCUAGGUCAGCUUCGGAAGCCCGCGGGGUGGGGAGCCUGAGCCGCCUCGGGCGUUCCUCACGUCGCGCGGCGGCCACGUGCGGCCCGGGGCGCUGAGUCCCAGGCCCCGCGCUGGUGGGCUCUGGGCCCGCGGGCAAAGGUUCAGAGUAUCGGCCGAGUCCGGCAAGGUCAGCAGUUCCGCUGUCGGUGCCAUGUGGCCAUCGGGAACCCCCUUCGCCACUGUGAAAUCGUAACACCGCAGGCAGACACCCGCCAGUUUGAUCCACGUGGGAUCAAGAGGUCCAAAGUGACGUGGGUGAAGUAUUUAGCAUCCUGCACUGCACUGAACAAACAUGUUCAGCGUCAACAGCUUUGGGAUUGAGUGGCAAAUGAUCUGGAAACUCGCACUAUUUUCAAUCUUGUAUGUUAUUUUUUUUUAGUAUGAUAUUUAAGAGAGUGCUUCCUUGUUAAAUAAAAUGCUUGAUUCAUCUGGAUAA
This is a long non-coding RNA of Pteropus alecto (black flying fox), 613 nucleotides long. RefSeq lists it as uncharacterized. NCBI's taxonomy places the organism in Eukaryota, Metazoa, Chordata, Mammalia, Chiroptera, Pteropodidae. The transcript is spliced from 2 exons. The record is from RefSeq and is a predicted model, not a curated record.